AGAACUUUGGUAAGAAGGUGGAUCAGAUCAAGCUCUAUGUGAGACGUGUGUUCAUCACGAGUGACUUCGCAGAGAUGAUGCCAAACUACCUCGCCUUCAUCCGCGGCAUGGUUGACUCUGACGACCUUCCCCUGAACGUGUCGCGAGAGACACUCCAGCAGCACAAGCUGCUGAAGGUAAUUAAGAAGAAGCUAACGAGGAAAGCACUGGACAUGA
Long non-coding RNA from Priapulus caudatus, 216 nucleotides. RefSeq lists it as uncharacterized. Lineage: Eukaryota; Metazoa; Priapulida; Priapulimorpha; Priapulimorphida; Priapulidae. The transcript has 2 exons. The record is from RefSeq and is a predicted model, not a curated record.